Molecule: transfer RNA, 73 nt
Filed under: Loxodonta africana (African savanna elephant)
Lineage: Eukaryota; Metazoa; Chordata; Mammalia; Proboscidea; Elephantidae
Rfam family: tRNA
About the family: Transfer RNA (tRNA) molecules are approximately 80 nucleotides in length. Their secondary structure includes four short double-helical elements and three loops (D, anti-codon, and T loops).
Source: Rfam by way of RNAcentral
GCCCUGGUGGCCCAGAUGGUUAAGCCCUUGACUACUAACCGAAAGGUUGGUGGUUCGAAUCCACCUCGUGGCU